AAUUUUAAUCAAUCAAAUAGGAUUCCAUUAAUAAUCGUUCCAUUGUUGGCUUCGGUUUUACGUAUAGUUAAUAGAAAUUGGAUGGAUAGCUUAAAAAAGGUUAUAAUUCCACCUGUAAAAUUUAAUGAUAUUUACAGUAAACCACAGAUUAGAAUCGGAAAAGAAAUUACGGAAUUAUUGGAAAGAAAUCAAUUUACCCGACAAUUCAAAAGUAAAAUGCAUCGAUGGUAGUAAAUCUGUUGAGAUUAAUUCUCUCAAGAUAUAAACGUUUGGUUCAUAAACUAAAAGAAGCUGUUAAAAUUUUAAUGGUAAAAAAAUCGAUGAAAACAAUAGUUUCCCUUCUUCGUCUCUCUCGCAUCCUGCUGACGAUUCAAUUCCGACAGCGUAUCAAAUAUUUAUAUUUUGCACAUUUUACGCCCCUUUCCAAUCAGAGUCAUUACUAAGGGGCGGGGCCAGUUCCGACCACGGAUUGCACCC
RNAcentral lists this long non-coding RNA (477 nucleotides) under Androctonus crassicauda. The record is from RNAcentral. Lineage: Eukaryota; Metazoa; Arthropoda; Arachnida; Scorpiones; Buthidae.